This 107-nucleotide small nuclear RNA is filed under the name Urocitellus parryii (Arctic ground squirrel). The record is from RNAcentral. Lineage: Eukaryota; Metazoa; Chordata; Mammalia; Rodentia; Sciuridae.
GUGCUCACUUCAGCAGCACAUAUACUAAAAUCGGAAUGAUACAGAAUAGAUUAGCAUGGCCCUUGCGCAAGGAUGACACACAAAUUCAUGAAGCAUUACAUAUUUUU